RNAcentral lists this ribosomal RNA (723 nucleotides) under Vibrio sp. 12F11. RNAcentral's name for it is "bacterial SSU rRNA". It matches the Rfam family "Bacterial small subunit ribosomal RNA", at positions 33 to 735 of the family's 1533-position model. The record is from RNAcentral. Lineage: Bacteria; Pseudomonadati; Pseudomonadota; Gammaproteobacteria; Vibrionales; Vibrionaceae.
ACGCUGGCGGCAGGCCUAACACAUGCAAGUCGAGCGGAAACGAGUUAUCUGAACCUUCGGGGAACGAUAACGGCGUCGAGCGGCGGACGGGUGAGUAAUGCCUAGGAAAUUGCCUUGAUGUGGGGGAUAACCAUUGGAAACGAUGGCUAAUACCGCAUAACGCCUACGGGCCAAAGAGGGGGACCUUCGGGCCUCUCGCGUCAAGAUAUGCCUAGGUGGGAUUAGCUAGUUGGUGAGGUAAUGGCUCACCAAGGCGACGAUCCCUAGCUGGUCUGAGAGGAUGAUCAGCCACACUGGAACUGAGACACGGUCCAGACUCCUACGGGAGGCAGCAGUGGGGAAUAUUGCACAAUGGGCGCAAGCCUGAUGCAGCCAUGCCGCGUGUAUGAAGAAGGCCUUCGGGUUGUAAAGUACUUUCAGCAGUGAGGAAGGGGGUGUCGUUAAUAGCGGCAUCUCUUGACGUUAGCUGCAGAAGAAGCACCGGCUAACUCCGUGCCAGCAGCCGCGGUAAUACGGAGGGUGCGAGCGUUAAUCGGAAUUACUGGGCGUAAAGCGCAUGCAGGUGGUUUGUUAAGUCAGAUGUGAAAGCCCGGGGCUCAACCUCGGAACUGCAUUUGAAACUGGCAAACUAGAGUACUGUAGAGGGGGGUAGAAUUUCAGGUGUAGCGGUGAAAUGCGUAGAGAUCUGAAGGAAUACCAGUGGCGAAGGCGGCCCCCUGGACA